AGUGUCUCCCUUCAGGGUUGUAUGCUUCCCAGGAGAGUAAGGAAAAGUAAGACAUACUCAAGUGUGGGAACAAUCACAUGGAGGGAGAGUAAUUCCUGCCCAAGGUAAACAGCCCCUGGGAUUAACUACAUAAGACAUACACAAGAUGAUGCCAGUUACAAAUUCCAGCAAGAAUACGGAAGGAACUACAGAGGCCUCAGCCCAAGCUAAGGAGCUUUUGGCCAAAGGAGCAAAGCGACAUCAUACAAACUAGAACUCAUCCAUAUGUGGGAACCUUUGUGAAAUUUUCUACCUUUGGUUUGCCAACUAAAUCAGCUUUGAUAUUUGCCCUCCAGAGCAAGGAGACCUACUUCAAAGUUUGCUUCCAGGCUUAUGUUUCACAGUGUUCAUUCUUGCCAGUGAGUUGAACUAAAAGCCAGCUGGCAGUGCAGUACAAACCCUGGAAUAUAUGUCCUUCAUCCUCAAAGGAUAACAAAAAUGGAAAAAGUACAUUUGGGCUGUGUUAGCCAACUCCUAAGUAGAAGUAGACUUACUCUGAUUUGGAAGAUUAACACAGAAGGAAAGAAAACCCAACACCUUCUCAUCCAGUUGCCAAGGGCAACCAGUCUUUUUUGUAAAUUCUGAGUUUCUAUUUACAAUGCAACUUUUUGAAGUGCUACCAGGUAUUUACUGAUUAGUCUUCUUGUCCCAUGACUACAAUGAUAUUGAUGACUUCAAAAACAAAUAUGGAGAAAAGCCAAUAUCAAAAGCUAAUGUGAAAAUAGUAAAUCAGUUUUUCUUAACUUAUAAAGGAGAAAAAUGAAAAAAAAAACCUUUAACAAUACAGCUGUAAAUAGUAAAACUCCAAAAGACAGCAUAAACUAUGAUAGCCCUAAUACUGGUGCCUCAGGAGGAACUGUCUGUAUCCCUUAUGGUGCUGGUUCUGUGAGCUGAAAUAGUUAAGCCAGCUUACAUUGUGAAACACAAUCCUGCUGUAUUGAAGUAUGUUCGUAGAAUUAGUCUGUUUUGUUCACCUCUUGGCCCAGACUAGCAUACAUGCACACAUGUAUGUAAUGUGUGAUUAAUAUGGAUAGCUGCUAGAAAGCCCAUGAGAAACUAGAAUUUAAUUGGUUCCCAAAAUGAAGAAUCCUGAUUUAUGUAAAAUAAUUUUAGAUAUGCAAAAUUUACAGUCACUGAUUCCAUGGUAAUAGUUUUUAAGUUUAUGAAUGAUACCUUGUCUUUCUAUUCCACAAGCAUAACUGCUACUACACAUGGGUAGCUGAAGAGUGUCAGUCAAAACAAAGAAGUGAUGUAUUGCUGAAGGCAAGUUUGUGUUCAACACCAAAGAAAACUGCAAAUGAAAGAUACUUGUCCAUUCAAGCUUUUUUGUCUCUGUACGAGACCACUGUUAGACUACAUCCAUAAUAUACACAAACUGUUUUACUAUUCACAAUUUUCCUUAUCAUUUUCCUAACAAUGCACCUAAAAUCCUCACAAUUCUAUGUUCUAAACUUUGUAUGCUGUUUUCUGAUUGGAAAAAUAUGCCAUUGUAUGUGAAUGAUCAUUUAACUUUUACAUUGUGUCUGUGUUUCCAUCUUUUAAUGCUUACCGUUGGAUCUAUCAUCUGCCUACACAAUAAAAGCUCACUUCUGCUACAUACCAGACCAAUCCA
Non-coding RNA from Cricetulus griseus (Chinese hamster), 1651 nucleotides. NCBI's taxonomy places the organism in Eukaryota, Metazoa, Chordata, Mammalia, Rodentia, Cricetidae. The record is from RefSeq and is a predicted model, not a curated record.